GCGGAUAUGGCGGAAUUGGCAGACGCGCAUGAUUCAGGUUCAUGUCUUUCACGAGGUGCAGGUUCAAGUCCUGUUAUCCGCACCA
RNAcentral lists this transfer RNA (85 nucleotides) under Clostridia bacterium. Its description in RNAcentral is "tRNA-Leu". It matches the Rfam family "tRNA". Rfam says of the family: Transfer RNA (tRNA) molecules are approximately 80 nucleotides in length. Their secondary structure includes four short double-helical elements and three loops (D, anti-codon, and T loops). The record is from RNAcentral. Lineage: Bacteria; Bacillati; Bacillota; Clostridia. RNAcentral also lists the same sequence under 1 other name.